AUUGAACGCUGGCGGCAGGCCUAACACAUGCAAGUCGAGCGGUAGAGAGAAGCUUGCUUCUCUUGAGAGCGGCGGACGGGUGAGUAAUGCCUAGGAAUCUGCCUGGUAGUGGGGGAUAACGUUCGGAAACGGACGCUAAUACCGCAUACGUCCUACGGGAGGAAGCAGGGGACCUUCGGGCCUUGCGCUAUCAGAUGAGCCUAGGUCGGAUUAGCUAGUUGGUGAGGUAAUGGCUCACCAAGGCGACGAUCCGUAACUGGUCUGAGAGGAUGAUCAGUCACACUGGAACUGAGACACGGUCCAGACUCCUACGGGAGGCAGCAGUGGGGAAUAUUGGACAAUGGGCGAAAGCCUGAUCCAGCCAUGCCGCGUGUGUGAAGAAGGUCUUCGGAUUGUAAAGCACUUUAAGUUGGGAGGAAGGGCAGUUACCUAAUACGUGAUUGUUUUGACGUUACCGACAGAAUAAGCACCGGCUAACUCUGUGCCAGCAGCCGCGGUAAUACAGAGGGUGCAAGCGUUAAUCGGAAUUACUGGGCGUAAAGCGCCCGUAGGUGGUUAGUUAAGUUGGAUGUGAAAUCCCCGGGCUCCACCUGGGAAAUUCAUUCAAAAUGACUGACUAAAGUAUGGGAAAAGGUGGUGGAAUUUCCUGGGGACGGGGAAAAGCGAAAAUAAUUAAGGGAAACCAGCUGGCGAAAGGACCCCCUGGACUCUAAUGAA
RNAcentral lists this ribosomal RNA (717 nucleotides) under Pseudomonas veronii. RNAcentral's name for it is "bacterial SSU rRNA". It matches the Rfam family "Bacterial small subunit ribosomal RNA", at positions 28 to 744 of the family's 1533-position model. Lineage: Bacteria; Pseudomonadati; Pseudomonadota; Gammaproteobacteria; Pseudomonadales; Pseudomonadaceae. The record is from RNAcentral.